RNAcentral lists this long non-coding RNA (204 nucleotides) under Vigna radiata. RNAcentral's name for it is "long non-coding RNA (VRAD_LNC001465)". The record is from RNAcentral. Lineage: Eukaryota; Viridiplantae; Streptophyta; Magnoliopsida; Fabales; Fabaceae.
CGGGGACUCGUCAAGCAGGAGCGGGAGCGGGAGUUCGCNCAGCUCGGGAUCAUCUUCGAGGGCCGAACAGUCAGAUGCCGGACAGCCAGCAGACCGAAUCAUACACGGGACGGCUCUCUAUCUCUUAGAGGGAGGCGUGCAGCUUGAACCCAUCCGUCCCAUGCCGGCCGGAGGAUGGCCAGUAAUAAGGGGGUAUGACUGGGC